AGUGAACGCUGGCGGUAGGCCUAACACAUGCAAGUCGAACGGCAGCACAGUAAGAGCUUGCUCUUACGGGUGGCGAGUGGCGGACGGGUGAGGAAUACAUCGGAAUCUACUUUUUCGUGGGGGAUAACGUAGGGAAACUUACGCUAAUACCGCAUACGACCUACGGGUGAAAGCAGGGGAUCUUCGGACCUUGCGCGAUUGAAUGAGCCGAUGUCGGAUUAGCUAGUUGGCGGGGUAAAGGCCCACCAAGGCGACGAUCCGUAGCUGGUCUGAGAGGAUGAUCCGGCACCCCGGAACUUGGACACGGGCCAGACUCCCACGGGAGGCAGCAGGUGGGAAUUUUUGGCAAUGGGGGAAAACCUGACGCAGCCAAGCCGCGUGGGUGAAGAAGGUCUUCGGGUUGUAAAACCCUUUUUUUUGGGAAAAAAAAACGGGUGUUUAACUCCCCCCUUUUUGACGGUACCCAAAAAAAAAGCCACGGCUAACUUCGUG
This 492-nucleotide ribosomal RNA is filed under the name uncultured bacterium. RNAcentral's name for it is "partial 16S ribosomal RNA". It matches the Rfam family "Bacterial small subunit ribosomal RNA", at positions 29 to 507 of the family's 1533-position model. The record is from RNAcentral.